This 484-nucleotide ribosomal RNA is filed under the name uncultured bacterium. RNAcentral describes it as "partial 16S ribosomal RNA". It matches the Rfam family "Bacterial small subunit ribosomal RNA", at positions 28 to 523 of the family's 1533-position model. The record is from RNAcentral.
GACGAACGCUGGCGGCGUGCUUAACACAUGCAAGUCGGACGAUGAACCCGGAGCUUGCUCCGGUGGAUUAGUGGCGAACGGGUGAGUAACACGUGAGUAACCUGCCCCGAACUCUGGGAUAACUGCUGGAAACGGUAGCUAAUACCGGAUAUGACCAAUGAAGGCAUCUUCUGUUGGUGGAAAGAAUUUCGGUUCGGGAUGGACUCGCGGCCUAUCAGCUUGUUGGUGAGGUAACGGCUCACCAAGGCGACGACGGGUAGCCGGCCUGAGAGGGUGAUCGGCCACACUGGGACUGAGACACGGCCCAGACUCCUACGGGAGGCAGCAGUGGGGAAUAUUGCACAAUGGGCGCAAGCCUGAUGCAGCAACGCCGCGUGAGGGACGACGGCCUUCGGGUUGUAAACCUCUUUUAGUAGGGAAGAAGCGAAAGUGACGGUACCUGCAGAAAGAGCACCGGCUAACUACGUGCCAGCCGCCGCAGUAA